AUUGAACGCUGGCGGCAGGCCUAACACAUGCAAGUCGAGCGGCGCGGCAGAAGGGUGCGUAAUGCCUAGGUAUCUGACUGGUAGUGGGGGAUAGCGUCCAGAAACGGGCGCUAAUACCGCAUCCUAUCCGAUUCGCAUAGGUCGGAUUAGCUAGGUGUGAGGGUAAAGGCCUACCAAGGCGACGAUCCGUAACUGGUCUGAGAGGAGGAUCAGUCACACUGGAACUGAGACACGGUCCAGACUCCUACGUGAGGCAGCAGUGGGGAAUAUUGGACAAUGGGCGAAAGCCUGAUCCAGCCAUGCCGCGUGUGUGAAGAAGGUCUUCGGAUUGUAAAGCACUUUAAGUUGGGAGGCGUUACCAACAGAAUAAGCACCGGCUAACUUCGUGCCAGCAGCCGCGGUAAUUC
Molecule: ribosomal RNA, 407 nt
Filed under: uncultured bacterium
Lineage: Bacteria
Description: partial 16S ribosomal RNA
Rfam family: Bacterial small subunit ribosomal RNA
Source: RNAcentral